AUGGUGGAGGCAAUGUGAUGGUCUGGGGGUGCUUUGAUGAUGGUGAAGUGGGAGAUUUGUACAGGGUAAAAGGGAUCUUGAAGAAGGAAUGCUAUCACUCCAUUUUGCAACGCCAUGCCAUACCCUAUGGACGGCGCUUAAUUGGAGCCAAUUUCCUCCUACAACAGGACAAUGACCCAAAGCACAGCUCCAAACUAUGCAAGAACUAUUUAGGGAAGAAGCAGUCAGCUGGUUUUCUGUCUAUAAUGGAGUGGCCAGCACAGUCACCGGAUCUCAACCUUGUUGAGCUGUUGUGGGAGCAGCUUGACCGAAUGGUACGUAAAAAGUGCCCGUCAAGCCAAUCCAACUUGUGGGAGGUGCUUCAGGAAGCAUGGGGUGAAAUCUCUUCAGAUUACCUCAGCAAAUUGACAACUAGAAUGCCAAAGGUCUGCAAGGCCGUAAUUGCUGCAAAUGGAGGAUUCUUUGACGAAAGCGAAGUUUGAAGAACACAAUUAUUAUUUCAAUUAAAAAUCAUUAUUUAUAACCUUGUCAAUUUCUUGACUAUGUUUCCUAUUCAUUUUGUAACUAAUUUCAUGUAUGUUUUCAUGGAAAACACAGAUAUUUCUAAGUGACCCCAAACUUGUGAACUGUAGUGUAUAUCAGUGUAUAUACAACAAGUUAUGUCGGCUUAUUUAAACGGUUUUGACGGUCUUCAUCCAUGACCGUCUGUUACACGGUUAUUCAAUUAUCGUCACAGCCCUACUGACUGACUGUCCCUGUAAAAGCAACAUUGUUAUCCAUCAGUGUCUAGAGCAGGUUUGUGUCAGGUUUGUGGGUCUGUUAUAGUGGUAUCUUCAGCUAAUAGCUACAGAUGACAACCACAGCAGCGGUGGUCAGAGCAUAAUCGUUUUGGGGGCACUUGGCAAGAUCAAUAAUAAUAGAAGAAACAUUGAGGAGGUAGUGCUGCCUGUAAUGUCUUCAGCUAGUCAUAGCGAAUGCAGGCAGCCCAUAGAGUGGGGAAACAGCACACUGCGGUCUCAACAGUAUAUCAGCUGAAUCUAAAAGCCUCCAGCAUAAUGACUGUGAAACGUUAGCAUGAGAGAAGGCCACGCAAGCACAAUCACCAGCAAUUAGCCAUCAGCCAUUAGCUUUAUCAUACGCUGCCAAGCAUUGAAACUCAAGCCCUCAUCAAACGCUCGCUUUGAGGCCACGACAGGUAGAAACAAUUACUCACACACGCAAACAUGGAUGGUAUGUGUGGAGGGAACUCUUUUGAAGUGUGUGUGUGUGCGAGCAUAAUGCAUUGGCUCAUGUAAAGAUGCUCCAUCACAUUGAGCAACAGCUUUUGGAAUUGAAAUGGCUCAGUUAACUGAUUUUAAAAUGUGCUCUAUCAAGACAAGGGUGUGAUUUUGGGAGUCCAAUGUAUAAAUCUAGAUCUUAUUUUGUUAAGCACAAUGCAAUGGGAGGAGAGUAGCGAGACAAAUUGUUUAUUGAGGUUUAACUGCAUAUUGAUUACAUACAGUAUUCAUUGAUCCUCCAUUCACCCAUUACUAAUGCAUAUGCAUGAAACAGAAAAUCAAAUUAAACAACUUGUUUUUGGGCAUUUUGCUGUAUUCUGUAACCACAGCUGUGUUUAUGUAGGCUAUGUAUUAUAGAUACAUGCAUGUGAAGCUUCUAAUUGAGUGCUCUGUUGCAGCGCUGCGUUUCUGUGUGUGUGUGUGUGUUUUUGUGGGGUUGAGUUUCCUACAGGCUAGAUCCUAUGCACUAGUUAAACCUAGUGAAACCCAUCACAUUGUGGCUUCAGGGUUCUGUCAUAGGCAGUGCCUGAAGCUAAACCAGCAGCAGGAGGCAGACGACACCAAACUACAGGACUGUUUUACUAUCACAGACUGGAACUUGUUCUGGGAUUCUUCUGAUGACAUUGAGGAAUACACCACAUCAGUACCCCAACCAGAAGCCAUGGAUUACAGGCAACAUUCGUACUGAGCUAAAGGGUAGAGCUGCCGCUUUCAAGGUACGGGACUCUAACCCGGAAGAUUACAAGAUAUCCCGCUAUGCCCUGCGACAAACCAUGAAACAGGCAAAGCGUCAAUACAGGGCUAAGAUUGAAUCAUACUACACCGGCUCCGACGCUCGUCGGGAGUGGCAGGGCUCGCAAACUAUUACAGACUACAAAGCACAGCCGUGAGCUGCCCAGUGACACAAGCCUACCAGACGAGCUAAAUCACUUCUAUGCUCGCUUCGAGGCAAGCAACACUGAGGCAUGCAUGAGAGCAUCAGCUGUUCCAGAUGACUGUGUGAUCACGCUCUCCAUAACCGACGGAUCCCCAUCAAUGUUCCUCCAACUGAUUGGACUCUUGGAAAGCCCUUUGUUAACAUAGAGCUACCCUCCUGGAGCACCCCCGCCAUCUCUGAUCCCUACCUUAGACAG
This is a long non-coding RNA of Oncorhynchus masou masou (cherry salmon), 2410 nucleotides long. RefSeq lists it as uncharacterized. The record is from RefSeq and is a predicted model, not a curated record. NCBI's taxonomy places the organism in Eukaryota, Metazoa, Chordata, Actinopteri, Salmoniformes, Salmonidae. The transcript is spliced from 4 exons.